AGAGUUUGAUCCUGGCUCAGAUUGAACGCUGGCGGCAUGCCUAACACAUGCAAAUCGAACGGUAACAGGUCUUCGGAUGCUGACGAGUGGCGGACGGGUGAGUAAUGCGUAGGAAUCUGUCUUUUAGUGGGGGACAACCCAGGGAAACUUGGGCUAAUACCGCAUGAGCCCUGAGGGGGAAAGCGGGGGAUCUUCGGACCUCGCGCUAAGAGAGGAGCCUACGUCCGAUUAGCUAGUUGGCGGGGUAAAGGCCCACCAAGGCGACGAUCGGUAGCUGGUCUGAGAGGACGACCAGCCACACUGGACUGAGACACGCC
RNAcentral lists this ribosomal RNA (317 nucleotides) under uncultured bacterium. RNAcentral's name for it is "bacterial SSU rRNA". It matches the Rfam family "Bacterial small subunit ribosomal RNA", at positions 8 to 332 of the family's 1533-position model. The record is from RNAcentral.